This 516-nucleotide ribosomal RNA is filed under the name Gordonia sp. PDA24. Its description in RNAcentral is "bacterial SSU rRNA". It matches the Rfam family "Bacterial small subunit ribosomal RNA", at positions 338 to 864 of the family's 1533-position model. Lineage: Bacteria; Bacillati; Actinomycetota; Actinomycetes; Mycobacteriales; Gordoniaceae. The record is from RNAcentral.
CCUACGGGAGGCAGCAGUGGGGAAUAUUGCACAAUGGGCGCAAGCCUGAUGCAGCGACGCCGCGUGAGGGAUGACGGCCUUCGGGUUGUAAACCUCUUUCACCAGGGACGAAGCGCAAGUGACGGUACCUGGAGAAGAAGCACCGGCCAACUACGUGCCAGCAGCCGCGGUAAUACGUAGGGUGCAAGCGUUGUCCGGAAUUACUGGGCGUAAAGAGCUCGUAGGCGGUUUGUCGCGUCGUCUGUGAAAUUCUGCAGCUUAACUGCAGGCGUGCAGGCGAUACGGGCAGACUUGAGUACUACAGGGGAGACUGGAAUUCCUGGUGUAGCGGUGAAAUGCGCAGAUAUCAGGAGGAACACCGGUGGCGAAGGCGGGUCUCUGGGUAGUAACUGACGCUGAGGAGCGAAAGCGUGGGUAGCGAACAGGAUUAGAUACCCUGGUAGUCCACGCCGUAAACGGUGGGUACUAGGUGUGGGUUCCUUUUCACGGGAUCCGUGCCGUAGCUAACGCAUUAAG